UUUUUUCUUCCCCUUUUUUAUAGCUUAAGUUCAGCGGGUAUUCC
Molecule: ribosomal RNA, 44 nt
Filed under: Fusarium sacchari
Lineage: Eukaryota; Fungi; Ascomycota; Sordariomycetes; Hypocreales; Nectriaceae
Description: partial small subunit ribosomal RNA
Source: RNAcentral